GAUGAACGCUGGCGGCGUGCCUAAUACAUGCAAGUCGAGCGAACGGACGAGAAACUUGCUUCUCUUAUUUUAGCGGCGGACGGGUGAGUAACACGUGGAUAACCUACCUAUAAGACUGGGAUAACUUCGGGAAACCGGAGCUAAUACCGGAUAAUAUUUUGAACCGCAUGGUUCAAAAGUUAAAGACGGUCUUGCUUUCACUUAUAGAUGGAUCCGCGCUGCAUUAGCUAGUUGGUAAGGUAACGGCUUACCAAGGCAACGAUGCAUAGCCGACCUGAGAGGGUGAUCGGCCACACUGGAACUGAGACACGGUCCAGACUCCUACGGGAGGCAGCAGUAGGGAAUCUUGCGCAAUGGGCGAAAGCCUGACGGAGCAACGCCGCGUGAGUGAUGAAGGUCUUCGGAUCGUAAAACUCUGUUAUCAGGGAGGAACAGAUGUGUAAGUAUAUGUGCACAUAUUGACGGUACCUAAACAGAAAGCAACGGCUAACUACGUG
RNAcentral lists this ribosomal RNA (497 nucleotides) under uncultured bacterium. RNAcentral describes it as "partial 16S ribosomal RNA". It matches the Rfam family "Bacterial small subunit ribosomal RNA", at positions 28 to 507 of the family's 1533-position model. The record is from RNAcentral.